Molecule: long non-coding RNA, 1372 nt
Filed under: Gallus gallus (chicken)
Lineage: Eukaryota; Metazoa; Chordata; Aves; Galliformes; Phasianidae
Description: lncRNA (ENSGALG00010000187.1)
Source: RNAcentral
GGUCGUAUGUCGCAAUAGGGUCACGAUAGUGUCGCGAUAGGGUCACGAUAGGGUUGUAUGUCGCGAUAGGGUCACGAUAGCGUCGCGAUAGGGUCACGAUAGGGUCAUAUGUCGCGAUAGGGUCACGAUAGGGUCGUAUGUCGUAAUAGGGGCACGAUAGGGUCACGAUAGGACCACAAUAGGGUCACUAUAGGGUCAUAUGUCACGAUAGGGUCUUAUGUCAUGAUAGGGCCACAGUGAUAUUGCGAUAGAGCCAUAUGUCACGAUAGGGCCACGAUAGGGUCAUGAUAGGGUUGUAUAUCGCGAUAGGGUCGCGAUAAGGCCACGAUAGGGUCAUGAUAGGGUCGUAUGUCGCGAUAGGGCCGCGAUAGGGCCACAAUAGGGUCGUAUGUCGUGAUAGGGUCAUGAUGAUAUCCCGAUAGGGCCAUAUGUCACGAUAGGGUCGCGAUAGGGUCACAAUAGGGCCAUGGUGAUAUCGCAAUAGAGCCAUAUGUCACGAUAGGGCCAUGAUAGGGUCGCAAUAGGGCCACAAUAGGGUCACAAUAGGGUCAUAUGUCAUGAUAGGAUCACGAUGAUAUCGCGAUAGGGCCAUAUGUCACGAUAGGGCCACGAUAGGGCCGCAAUAGGGCCACAAUAGGGUCACGAUAGGGUCAUAUGUCGCGAUAGGGCUGCGAUAGGGUCAUGGUGAUAUCCCGAUAGGGCCAUAUGUCGUGAUAGGGCCGUGAUAGGGUCACGAUAGGGUCGUAUGUCGUGAUAGGGCUGCGAUAGGGUCAUGGUGAUAUCGUGAUAGGGCCAUAUGUCGCGAUAGGGCCACGAUAAGGUCACAAUAGGGCCACAAUAGGGUCACGAUAGGGUCAUAUGUCGCGAUAGGGCCGCAAGAGGGUCAUGGUGAUAUCCCAAUAGGGCCAUAUGUUGUGAUAGGGCCGCGAUAGGGUCACGAUAGGGCCACGACAGGGCCAUAUGUCGCGAUAGGGCCACAAUAGGGUCGCAGUAGGGCCAUUAUAGGGUCACAAUAGGGUUGUAUGCCACGAUAGGGCCAUGAUAGGAUCAGUAUAUCGUGAUAUAAGAUGCCAUAUGGUGAUAUAUCGCUCCAUAUCGCUCCAUAUCGCACCACAUUGCGACAUAAGGCAGUAUAUCGCGACAUAAGGUGCCACAUGGCGAUAUAUCGCGACAUAUCGCGACAUAAAGGUGCCCUAUGGCGACAUAUCGCGACAUAUCGCGACAUAAAGGUGCCACAUGGCGAUAUAUCGCGACGUAUCGCGACGCAUCGCGACAUAAAGGUGCCGUAUUGCACCGUAUCGCGCCGUAAAGCAGUAUAUCGCGACAUAAAGGUGCCAUAUCGCACCGUAUCGUGAUAUAUUGCGACAUAAAG